GAGUUCGAAUCUCGCCGGUGCCUCUUUUUUACACGGGGCAUUUUUUUUUCAGAGCGCCGCUGGUGAAAUGGUAUAAUGCAAGAUUCCCAUUC
Molecule: non-coding RNA, 92 nt
Organism: Cordylochernes scorpioides
Lineage: Eukaryota; Metazoa; Arthropoda; Arachnida; Pseudoscorpiones; Chernetidae
Source: the annotation of a GenBank genome assembly